GAUGAACGCUGGCGGCGUGCUUUAUGCAUGCAAGUCGAACGAUUCCGAUUCGUUGGGAUAGUGGCGAACGGGUGAGUAACACGUAAGUAACCUGCCUUUAAGUGGGGAAUAACCCCGGGAAACCGGAGUUAAUACCGCAUGUGGUGGCAGGGCAAGUGCUCUGUCUCUAAAGCCUUCGGGCGCUUGAAGAGGGACUUGCGUCCGAUUAGCUAGUUGGUAGGGUAAUGGCCUACCAAGGCAGUGAUCGGUAGCUGGUUUGAGAGGACGGUCAGCCACACUGGGACUGAGACACGGCCCAGACUCCUACGGGAGGCAGCAGCAAGGAAUUUUGUGCAAUGGGCGAAAGCCUGACACAGCGACGCCGCAUGGGGGAUGAAGGCCUUCGGGUUGUAAACCCCUUUUCUCAGGGACGAAUAAUGACGGUACCUGAGGAAUAAGCCUCGGCUAACUACGUG
This 455-nucleotide ribosomal RNA is filed under the name uncultured bacterium. RNAcentral's name for it is "bacterial SSU rRNA". It matches the Rfam family "Bacterial small subunit ribosomal RNA", at positions 28 to 507 of the family's 1533-position model. The record is from RNAcentral.